ACACUUUGAGCCUGCCAAAGUGCCUUUUUUUGUGCCUUUCACAUAAAGACUAUGACACAGCUAAGCUAUUCAUGUACUAAUAAAUACCUGCCCUGAGCUGUGUGACCACGGACACCACCCUAUAAUGUGGCCAGUGUGUAGGAACUCUGCAGGCUCAGAUCAUUCCAGACAUACAUGCAGAUGUUGGAACUCCCUUGCACAGUGACUCAUGAUCCCAAGGCUGAGUGCUGAGGGCAGGAUUAACCUCAGCGAUUGUUGCUGGCAUCAGUGCAGCCCUGGGACCAGAGCACACCUGGGGUCCGGCGGAACUCUACCCUAGGGCCCUUCAUCUUCCGAGGCUAUGACUCAGCACCUCCAGGCCCUUGGACCCUGGAGAAUGACAGCCACACAGAUGCAUGUGGUCCACAGUAACACAAAGUACCAGAGCAUGGAGGAGGCACCACGCCACGGUGAUGGGCUCGAGUGCAGGCCCUGCUGCUGGAGUUGCUGCUGGCGGUGAAGGCAGGGCUGUGAUUCUAUGUAUGUUUCCAAAAAAGGGGUUCAUGGGGAUCCUGGAAGUGGACAGG
Long non-coding RNA from Homo sapiens (human), 566 nucleotides. Ensembl annotates it as long intergenic non-protein coding RNA 1651. The record is from Ensembl. NCBI's taxonomy places the organism in Eukaryota, Metazoa, Chordata, Mammalia, Primates, Hominidae.